Molecule: long non-coding RNA, 989 nt
Organism: Monomorium pharaonis (pharaoh ant)
Lineage: Eukaryota; Metazoa; Arthropoda; Insecta; Hymenoptera; Formicidae
Exons: 3
Source: RefSeq, a predicted model, not a curated record
AUGGGAUGCGACGACGACGAAACGCAUAAUAUCCAGUUUAAAAAGAAGAAGAAGAAGAUGAAACCUUUAAGGAAACGCGAAGCUUCUCGGUUUGAGCGAGGGAGAGAAAAUGUCCAAUCGGAUCCCUUUAAUAUGAAAACCAGAGGAAAAUAUGAAACUGCUGAAGAAUACAAAAUAUAAGCUGAAUGACUCGUACGACACCAGCAGUAGAACUCAAUUUAAUAUGGAGACCAAUAAACGCGACGAAGAAAUGGUCAAUUAUGUAGAAUUGUCGAAGCGCAAAAGUAAAAAUAAUAACGAUGUAAUGAAUAGUACGAAUAAUGAUAAAGGAUCGUAUUGCUUGCCAGAGGAAACAGCAUUGCACGCAGUACUAGAUGCAAGUUAAGCGAGAACAUUUGAGGAGUGAUUUUGGUCUAGCAGCAGGAAUGUCGGGCGAAUUACCUUGUUAACAGUCUUAGUAAGACUUAGUAUGACAUCUUACCUAAUAUGUAUAAUAUGCAUCUCUCAUAAGUUGCAUUUUUAUUUAUUUUUUAACGUUUUUUUCAUCAAUUAUUUUGUUUUUUUUUUCCUCAACUUUUUUUAGGUAGCUAGGAAGAAGGCCAGUGUAGCUACAAUAUCACUCAAUAGGUAGCACACAGGAUAUGACAAAGGUAAAUUGUCUUGUUUUUAGCUUUGAAUUUUUACUUUUAUAGAGCUUUUAUUUCUAUCGGAUUUUUCAAUAUGAUUAUUCUCUUACAUUCCACCCUACUAAUACAGUGAUGUGCAUAAAGAUUAUCUGUCUUUAUUUUUGUUUUCUUUAUGUUGUCUACAUUUUUUUGCAGUAUACAGAACACUGAGGCAGCAAAAUUCUGUUUCCAGAUGUAUGAUUCGCAAAAGACUAUCUUUCAGCUCCAAAUUGUUGAAAUGAGAGAUCAAAAACCUAGAUACGUACCGAGUUAGUAAUAUUAUUGUGGACUUAGAUUUCUUUUUAUAAAUAUCUUGCACUAGUA